CCCUCUUCUCCAUCCUGCACACAGGAGAGACAAAAUCCCUUCGAAACCCCUUCGUCUUCAUUUACCGAUGGAUACCAGCAUCGAUCCUCGUUCUUCUUAUUGUCGCUAACCAAGGGAUGGCGGCGUCUUUUAUUUAUCGAACGGGCACAGUCCUCGAGGAAAAGAGAGAGAAGCACGAAGUUGCUGAAACAGGCUGCGCGGCUCGAGCGAAUAUUUCAUCCCGGUUGACGUUGCGCCGCGGUAAAUCAGCCUCUGUGUUCUUGGACUCGGGCCGUGGCUUCGAUACCUCGCGAUCCCAGCAUGCGGGAUUUCGCACUUUUUUGCGGCAGGGAGGGAGGGAGGGAGGAAGGAAGGAAGGAAGGAAGGA
This is a long non-coding RNA of Apis florea (little honeybee), 367 nucleotides long. The record is from RefSeq and is a predicted model, not a curated record. Lineage: Eukaryota; Metazoa; Arthropoda; Insecta; Hymenoptera; Apidae.